UCUUAGCCGUGCCUACUGGGUCACUGUGUCCUUAGCAGGAAAAAGAAAGAACUGGGGAAUAGCAGGCGAUUCUUUCCUUUCUAUAAGGCAGCUCCAUCUGCAGGGGAUGGGCGGCUCCUUGCUCAAGGGAGUGGAGCACAACCUCUCUCCAGUCCCUGGCUUCCUGUGACACUAUGCGAGCGCCAGGAGAGACAUCAGGAGUGGAAGACUUUGGGGAAGCGAACUUCACCAAUACUGUCUAGGCUGGGCCCAAGCUCAUGGCAAUCCUCCUGCCUCAGCCUCCUGAGUGCUGGGAUUACAGGUGCACACCACCACGCAUGGCUGAUAUUCUGGAAAAGGCUAAAAUACAGAGAUGGAAAACAUAUAAGAAGUCUUCAGAGGGAGCACAGCCCCGUGGACCCCAGGACUUCAAAUUUCUGGCCUUUAGACUGUGGGAGAAAAACUUCUGUUCUUUUAAUUCAGCAAGUUGGAAUUACCACGCAGCCUUGUAAACCAAAGGGAAGAUCAUGCUCAAGAUAUGACUGAGCACAUGGCUGGAGAGAAGGAGUCCUAUGUACUCGACCGGUGAAAUUUAACUUGCUGCUUUGACUAAGUAUCUGCUUCACUAAAUUCACUUUGCUGCUUUUCAGCUCUGCAUUUUCUUUGCAUGUAAGCAAAUGAAGCUAUGGGCCUUAAUGAAUGGUCCCCAUGGGCAGGGAAAGACCUUUGCAC
RNAcentral lists this long non-coding RNA (711 nucleotides) under Heterocephalus glaber (naked mole-rat). RNAcentral's name for it is "lncRNA (ENSHGLG00100047950.1)". The record is from RNAcentral. Lineage: Eukaryota; Metazoa; Chordata; Mammalia; Rodentia; Bathyergidae.